Molecule: long non-coding RNA, 506 nt
Filed under: Marmota monax (woodchuck)
Lineage: Eukaryota; Metazoa; Chordata; Mammalia; Rodentia; Sciuridae
Source: RNAcentral
AUAAAGUACACACAAAGUUUAAACUGGUUAUGACAAAGCUUAUAGUUGUAUUUCUUGAACUAUAAAGAAAACAAAUUUUGGCAGUCUUUAUAUAUAGCUUAAAAUAUAAUUUUUAGCAUUUGGUACCAUAUGUAUGUCAUUAUAUUUGAUUUUGCAUUACUGUUUCACAAUGAAGCUUUGUUUAAGGCUUUGAUUUUUAUGAUUAUGAAAGAAAUAAGACACAACCACAGUUUUUCUUUCUUACUUAAAUUUUAUCAUUGUUGAUGUGGUUCUUUUGUGUUAAAAAAGUGCAACUAUGGAAACUAAAAAAAAUAUAAAUUAAUAUUGCUGUUCUGCUGAUUUUACAUAAAAGUACAUCAUAAUACUUUACAAGCAAGUUAAAUGGAGAUGCAAAUGACCUUUCAAAAUCAACACAAUGUGUUCUGAAACUUCAUAAUUAAUACCAUGCAUCUAUGAUCAAUGAACUAUGUGGUUUUUGAAUCAGAUGUAGACCAUUAGUAUACUAC